This 468-nucleotide ribosomal RNA is filed under the name uncultured bacterium. RNAcentral describes it as "partial 16S ribosomal RNA". It matches the Rfam family "Bacterial small subunit ribosomal RNA", at positions 28 to 507 of the family's 1533-position model. The record is from RNAcentral.
GACGAACGCUGGCGGCGUGCUUAACACAUGCAAGUCGAACGGAAAGGCCCUGCUUUUGUGGGGUGCUCGAGUGGCGAACGGGUGAGUAACACGUGAGUAACCUGCCCUUGACUUUGGGAUAACUUCAGGAAACUGGGGCUAAUACCGGAUAGGAGCUCCUGCUGCAUGGUGGGGGUUGGAAAGUUUCGGCGGUUGGGGAUGGACUCGCGGCUUAUCGGCUUGUUGGUGGGGUAGGUGUUUACCAAGGGUUUGAGGGAUAGCCGGCCUGGGAGGGGGGCCGGCCUCAUGAGUACUAAGAGACGGCCCAGUCGGCAAUGGGAGGCAGUGGUGGGGAAUAUGACGCAGUAGCGGGGAGUCUGUGGCGGCGGCGCUCGGUGCGGAAUGCCGUCUUAUGGGUUGAAAACCGCUUUCGCCGGUGACAUGGCGGGAGUGACGGUAAUGAGUAAAAAAGCACCGGCUAACUACGUG